UACGUAUGGAGCAAGCGUUAUCCGGAUUUACUGGGUGUAAAGGGAGCGCAGGCGGCUUUGCAAGUCUGAUGUGAAAGGCCGGGGCUCAACCCCGGGACUGCAUUGGAAACUGUAAAGCUAGAGUGCCGGAGGGGUAAGCGGAAUUCCUAGUGUAGCGGUGAAAUGCGUAGAUAUUAGGAGGAACACCAGUGGCGAAGGCGGCUUACUGGACGGUAACUGGCGCUGAGGCUCGAAAGCGUGGGGAGCAAACAGG
This 253-nucleotide ribosomal RNA is filed under the name uncultured bacterium. RNAcentral's name for it is "partial 16S ribosomal RNA". It matches the Rfam family "Bacterial small subunit ribosomal RNA", at positions 524 to 776 of the family's 1533-position model. The record is from RNAcentral.